AUGAGAGCCUACUCGGCGGCACCGCCCGCGGCCGUCUCGCUGCCGUCGGCCGCGGCCCCGCCGCUCACCCCCGACGCGGCGGCCGUGCUGUCCCGCGCCGCGGGCGACGCGUCCAGGCGCCGCCACGCGCACACCACGCCGCUCCACGCGGCAGCUGCGCUGCUCUCCGGCCCGGCGCCGCUCCUCCGCGACGCCUGCGUCGCCGGCCUCGCUUCGCCGCACCCGCUCCGGUGCCGCGCGCUCGACCUCUGCUUCGCGGUGGCCCUUGACCGUCUGCCCACCUCCACGGAGCACCACCACGGCGGCCAUGUCGACGGCGCCGGGUUCCGCGGCGGCCCGCAGCCCCCGCCGCUCUCCAACGCGCUCUCCGCCGCGCUCAAGCGCGCGUACGCGCACCACCGCCGCAUCGGCGGCAGCCCCGUCGAGCCCGCCGGCGGCGACGACCACCGCGUCGGCGUGCCGCACCUUGUGCUUGCCAUCCUUGACGACCCGUCCGUGGCUCGCGUCAUGCGCGAGGCCUCCUUCUCCAGCACCGCCGUCAAGGCGGCCAUGCUCCGGUCCCUCUCCGACCCCGCAGCCCCUGACUCCGGCGUCUAUGUCAGCGCCACCAGGUCGCUGCAGCACCGGCAGGCGCCGAUCAACCGGGACGAGGAGGUGGCCAAGGUCGUGGACGUGCUGAAAAGGGCCAAGAAGCGCAACCCGGUGCUCGUCGGUGACACGGCGGACGUGGACGCCGUCGUGCAGGAGGUCGUCGCGAUGAUCCAACGCCAGCGCCUCGGCAAUGCGCGGGUCAUCGAAUUCGGCAACCUGGCAGACAUGGAUAGGUCAGAGCUGGUCGCCAAGAUCAGGGAGCUCGGCGAAGCGAUCACAUCGGAGCUACUGGCACCGGCGAUGGUGUCACAGACCGCUGGUGUCGUGGUCAACCUCGGGAACCUCCAAUGGCUCGUGGAGGAAAGAUGCGCGGUCGCCUUCGGCGAGCCGCAGGAAACGAGGAGGGAGGUGGUGCUCGACACGGCGCGCGCCGCGGUGGCCGAGAUGGCACGCGUGCUGGAGCACUCCGGCGGCGAAGGCGAGCGGCGCCGCGUCUGGGUGAUCGGCACGGCGACGUGCGCCACGUAUCUCAAGUGCCAGGUGUACCACCCGGCGCUGGAGAGCGAGUGGGACAUCCAGGCGGUGCCCAUCACGCCGAGACCACCGCAGCCGCCGUCGCUCGGGCUCUCUCCGAGUGCUGGAGUCAAUCGAGGCAUCCUGAGCAGCUCGGUGGAGGUGUUGUCGUCGGCGAUGACCGGUGCAACGACGCACAGGCCGGCGACGGGCAUGUGCAACGCCUGCGUGGACGGCUACGAGCGGGAGCGCGCCGACAUGCAGUGUGCUGAUGCGGCGAGCUCCCUCAACCCCACCGAGAAGACCAUGUCGCGGUGGCUGCAGAUCGGGACGCCGGCCAGCGCACGGCCGCAGCCCAUCGUUGGUUUUCAGGACAAGGCGCGGGACGCAGAUGAGCUGUGGCGUCGGUGGCUGGACCGGUGCGCGCAGCUGCACUCCCACGGCCGGCCGCCGGCGGUUACGUGCUCCGAGUGGAACGGCGCGAGUGUUAUCGGCAGCAUGCAUGCGACGCUGCCGGUCAGGCCAUCGGCGCCGGCUAGAGGCACGGUGGUGGACACCGACCUCGCCCUGGGGACGCCGGUGCCUUCGAUGACGCCGGCACCGGCAUCAGCAUCGGCAUGGGACACGGACGAAAAGGUGCUCGCUAAACGGCUCACGGAGGCGGUGAGAUGGCAACCGGAGGCUGCGGCUGCGGUGGCUGAUACGAUCGUGAAGGCCAGGUUCGGCGGCGGAAAGCGGCGACGAGUAGGGCCAAAGGCCGACACGUGGGUCCUCUUCGCCGGUGCCGACAUGGUCGGGAAGAGGAGGAUGGCCGAGGCGCUCUCCGUGGCGAUCUUUGGCGCCGGCCCCGUCACUGUGCGCCUCGGCUGUGCAACAACCGGCGACGUCGACGGCGGGGAAGAAUCCGUCGUGUCGUGCCGCGGAAGGACGGCGCUGGACCGCGUGGCUGAGACCGUACGAGACAACCCGUUCCGCGUCGUGGUGCUCGAUGACCUCGACCACACCGACGAUGUCGUGCACGGUGCCAUCGUGCACGCCGUCGAGUCCGGCCAGCUCACGGACUCACACGGCCGAGACGUCGCCCUCGGCAGCGCCAUCUUCAUCGUCAUGUCAAGCUGGUCGUCGUCCGCGCCGGGUCAACCCACCGACUCGCCGUGGAACCUGGAGCUCCGUGUCCGGCGGCACACGACGCCGAAGCGGAGGCCCGAGCAGGAGCUCGACGGAUACCGGCGCGUGAAACCACGCAAACCGCUCCCGCUUGACCUGAACUUGUCCAUGUGCGACGAUCACAUCGACGACGACGGCGAGGACAGCGGCGGCGAGGGCUCACGUAACUCGUCCAGCGACCUGACGGUGGAGCACGAGCAGGAGUACGCGCAACCGCCCUCGGCCGGCACGCGCUCGGCACAGUCCAAUGUGCACGAGCUCAUCCGAGCCGUCGACGGGACAGUGGUGUUCAGAUCAGUCGACUUCGGGCCUCUCAAACGGAGCGUCUCCGACGUGGUAUCGGUCAAGUUCGGCGACGCCGCCGGCAGUGGCGGGUGGUCCGUGCACAUGGACGCCGGCGUGCUGGACAGGCUGGCCGGUGCCGCGUGGACGGCGGCAGGAGCGUCGACCGCCACGGCCACGUCGUUGGAGUCGUGGGCGGACGAGGUGCUGUGCCCUAGCAUACGGCAGCUGAAGCGUAGCUUGAGCAGCAGCGACGUCAACGGUGCAACGACGGUGAGCUUGUCGGCCGUGGAAGGCAUUGGCCGUCGAAGAAUGGACGGCGAUGUACUAUUCCCGACGUCGGUGACGGUCGCCGUCGACGGAAAUUGA
Molecule: ribosomal RNA, 2922 nt
Filed under: Triticum aestivum (bread wheat)
Lineage: Eukaryota; Viridiplantae; Streptophyta; Magnoliopsida; Poales; Poaceae
Description: partial small subunit ribosomal RNA
Source: RNAcentral